This 877-nucleotide ribosomal RNA is filed under the name uncultured bacterium. RNAcentral describes it as "bacterial SSU rRNA". It matches the Rfam family "Bacterial small subunit ribosomal RNA", at positions 94 to 972 of the family's 1533-position model. The record is from RNAcentral.
AGUGGCGCACGGGUGAGUAACGCGUAUGCAACCUACCUCUUACAGGGGGAUAGCCCGGAGAAAUCCGGAUUAAUAUCCCAUGGUAUUUAUUGUCCGCAUGGAUAGUAAAUUAAAGAUUUAUCGGUAAGAGAUGGGCAUGCGUGACAUUAGUUUGUUGGUGAGGUAACGGCUCACCAAGACUACGAUGUCUAGGGGUUCUGAGAGGAUGAUCCCCCACACUGGUACUGAGACACGGACCAGACUCCUACGGGAGGCAGCAGUGAGGAAUAUUGGUCAAUGGGCGCAAGCCUGAACCAGCCAUCCCGCGUGAAGGAAGACGGCCCUAUGGGUUGUAAACUUCUUUUCUGCACCAAGAAUGGGCCUUACGUGUAAGGUUUUGACGGUAGUGCAGGAAUAAGCAUCGGCUAACUCCGUGCCAGCAGCCGCGGUAAUACGGAGGAUGCAAGCGUUAUCCGGAUUCAUUGGGUUUAAAGGGUACGUAGGUGGCCCAGUAAGUCAGUGGUGAAAUCCUGCCGCUUAACGGUAGAACUGCCAUUGAUACUGCUGGGCUUGAGUACAGUUGAGGUAGGCGGAAUGUGUAGUGUAGCGGUGAAAUGCUUAGAUAUUACACAGAACCCCGAUUGCGAAGGCAGCUUACUAAACUGUAACUGACACUGAGGUACGAAAGCGUGGGGAGCGAACAGGAUUAGAUACCCUGGUAGUCCACGCCGUAAACGAUGCUCACUCGCUGUAUGCGAUACACAGUAUGCGGCCAAGCGAAAGUAUUAAGUGAGCCACCUGGGGAGUACGUUGGCAACAGUGAAACUCAAAGGAAUUGACGGGGGCCCGCACAAGCGGAGGAACAUGUGGUUUAAUUCGAUGAUACGCGAGGAACCUU